RNAcentral lists this ribosomal RNA (301 nucleotides) under uncultured bacterium. RNAcentral's name for it is "partial 16S ribosomal RNA". It matches the Rfam family "Bacterial small subunit ribosomal RNA", at positions 509 to 809 of the family's 1533-position model. The record is from RNAcentral.
CAGCAGCCGCGGUAAUACGAAGGGGGCUAGCGUUGUUCGGAUUUACUGGGCGUAAAGGGCGCGUAGGCGGACUGAUAAGUCAUGGGUGAAAUCCCAAGGCUCAACCUUGGAACUGCCUUUGAUACUGUUUGUCUUGAGUUCGAGAGAGGUAAGUGGAACUGCGAGUGUAGAGGUGAAAUUCGUAGAUAUUCGCAAGAACACCAGUGGCGAAGACGGCUUACUGGCUCGAAACUGACGCUGAGGCGCGAAAGCGUGGGGAGCAAACAGGAUUAGAUACCCGGGUAGUCCCUGUCUCUUAUAA